GUCUUUUUUAGUUUUUUUUUUUUUGCCAUUUUCUUUUAUUAACCUAAAACUUAAUUUAGUAAGAUUCACAUACACUAUGUACAUAAAUUUUAUUCUGUCAAAGAAUAUUCAAUGGUUAGUGAUAUUGAAAUUAUCCUUGAGAGUUAUGAAAUUUUUAAAUUUGAGUUAUAGUUGAAAUUUCUAGUUAUUAGUGUAGUAUUUUUAAAUAAAUGAUUUUAUUUUUUUUUU
RNAcentral lists this unclassified non-coding RNA (228 nucleotides) under Hevea brasiliensis (rubber tree). The record is from RNAcentral. Lineage: Eukaryota; Viridiplantae; Streptophyta; Magnoliopsida; Malpighiales; Euphorbiaceae.